CGCCACCCGUUUCAAAAGUAACGACGCAGCAGGCCGUCGGGCCCUUUGCGCAGGCGCGAUGAACCUCUAGGUCCCGCCCCACGGAGCCGGGACUGGCCAGUCCUCUCUGUGCUCGCCUGAGCUGUUUUCUCGCGCAGGCGCAGUGGGUAGGCGUGGUCACGCAUUUCCGGGUACUCACGCUCUGGAGCGUCCCAGUCUGGCUCCUCUAGUGGAAAAUUUCAUGGAAGAACCCAAGACAUUUUCAAAUUGGAGAACCGAUUGGAUGGAUGAGACAAUCAUCUUUGAGGGCUUUGAAGUUUAGUCUGGAAGAGGAUUUAGCACUCUGUGAGUUUAUAUUUAAGAUUGCAAUAUUGACUGAUUAUCUUCUAAAAAAUGUUAUGGACAUAAUAAAUUGCUUGCAACACUCAA
This 408-nucleotide long non-coding RNA is filed under the name Suricata suricatta (meerkat). RNAcentral's name for it is "lncRNA (ENSSSUG00005001052.1)". Lineage: Eukaryota; Metazoa; Chordata; Mammalia; Carnivora; Herpestidae. The record is from RNAcentral.